Molecule: ribosomal RNA, 253 nt
Filed under: uncultured bacterium
Lineage: Bacteria
Description: partial 16S ribosomal RNA
Rfam family: Bacterial small subunit ribosomal RNA
Source: RNAcentral
UACGUAGGGUGCGAGCGUUAAUCGGAAUUACUGGGCGUAAAGUGUGCGCAGGCGGCUGAGCAAGUCGAGUGUGAAAGCCCCGGGCUUAACUUGGGAAUUGCGCUCGAAACUACUUGGCUGGAGUGUGGCAGAGGAAGGUGGAAUUCCACGUGUAGCGGUGAAAUGCGUAGAGAUGCGGAGGAACACCGAUGGCGAAGGCAGCCCCCUGGGCUGACACUGACGCUCAGGCACGAAAGCGUGGGGAGCAAACAGG